ACCAAAUUAUUAAUGGAAAAUGUUUGUUUUUAGGACCUAUUAUUUAUUAAGCAACUGGAGUUCAGUGUCAGAGUGCUGUUUUUAUUGAAAGAACCCAAAGCUGUUAAGACUGCGGACUGACGAUUCAACCCAAAGCUGAUUUACCUGAAGAUUGCCCGAUCACAAUAUACAGGCUCCCCUCCCUGUUGUAAAUAACAUGGAAGAACACCACGACCCUAGGCUUGCUCCAGAAUAGAGAACCUGUAUUAAUCAACAGAACCUUAAAAUUGAAGUCUCCACUGUAGUGCCAUUCAGUACCUUAACAUGUGACAAUUUCAAAUCCUAUGAUGAGGUUCCAAGGGGUUGUAAAAUGGAAGAAAACACAGAACAGGCCAAGAAAAAAAUUAAGUAAUGCAGUCACUGUCAGGGAAAUAAAGCCAAAACUAUGUAGAAAUUUGAAAAAAUAAACACAAGAUUAUUGCUCGAGA
Molecule: long non-coding RNA, 467 nt
Organism: Saccostrea echinata
Lineage: Eukaryota; Metazoa; Mollusca; Bivalvia; Ostreida; Ostreidae
Exons: 4
Source: RefSeq, a predicted model, not a curated record